Alosa sapidissima (American shad) is the source of this 188-nucleotide long non-coding RNA. RefSeq lists it as uncharacterized. The record is from RefSeq and is a predicted model, not a curated record. The transcript is spliced from 3 exons. NCBI's taxonomy places the organism in Eukaryota, Metazoa, Chordata, Actinopteri, Clupeiformes, Clupeidae.
GCAGGUGCUGUCUAAUGAGGUGUGGAACUAUGGGAGAACUAACUGCAGGUGCUGUCUAAUGAGGUGUGGAACUAUGGGAGAACUAACUGCAGGUGCUGUCUAAUAAGGUGUGGAACUAUGGGAGAACUAACUGCAGGUGCUGUCUAAUGAGGUGUGGAACUAUGGGAGAACUAACUGCAGGUGCUGUC